Molecule: transfer RNA, 70 nt
Filed under: Sceloporus woodi
Lineage: Eukaryota; Metazoa; Chordata; Lepidosauria; Squamata; Phrynosomatidae
Description: tRNA-Val
Rfam family: tRNA
About the family: Transfer RNA (tRNA) molecules are approximately 80 nucleotides in length.
Source: RNAcentral
CAAAAAGUAGCUUAAGAUAAAGCAUUCAACUUACAAUUGAAAAAUGUUAGAGACGAACUAACCUAUUUGA